GGACGAACGCUGGCGGCGUGCUUAACACAUGCAAGUCGAGCGAUGAAGCUUCUUCGGAAGUGGAUUAGCGGCGGACGGGUGGGUAACACGUGGGUAACCUGCCUCAUAGAGGGGAAUAGCCUUCCGAAAGGAAGAUUAAUACCGCAUAAGAUUGUAAUAUCGCAUGAUAUAGCAAUUAAAGGAGUAAUCCGCUAUGAGAUGGACCCGCGUCGCAUUAGCUAGUUGGUGAGGUAACGGCUCACCAAGGCGACGAUGCGUAGCCGACCUGAGAGGGUGAUCGGCCACAUUGGGACUGAGACACGGCCCAAACUCCUACGGGAGGCAGCAGUAGGGAAUCUUCCGCAAUGGACGAAAGUCUGACGGAGCAACGCCGCGUGAGUGAAGAAGGUUUUUCCGGAUCGUAAAACUCUGUUGUCAGAGAAGAACAAGUUGGAGAGUAACUGCUCCAGCCUUGACGGUAUCUGACCAGAAAGCCACGGCUAACUACGUGCCAGCAGCAGC
Molecule: ribosomal RNA, 501 nt
Filed under: uncultured bacterium
Lineage: Bacteria
Description: bacterial SSU rRNA
Rfam family: Bacterial small subunit ribosomal RNA
Source: RNAcentral